RNAcentral lists this ribosomal RNA (215 nucleotides) under Crocinitomicaceae bacterium. RNAcentral's name for it is "partial 16S ribosomal RNA". It matches the Rfam family "Bacterial small subunit ribosomal RNA", at positions 1 to 204 of the family's 1533-position model. Lineage: Bacteria; Pseudomonadati; Bacteroidota; Flavobacteriia; Flavobacteriales; Crocinitomicaceae. The record is from RNAcentral.
UUACAAUGGAGAGUUUGAUCCUGGCUCAGGAUGAACGCUAGCGGCAGGCCUUACACAUGCAAGUCGAGGGGUAACAGGAGAGAGCUUGCUCUUUCGCUGACGACCGGCGCACGGGUGCGUAACACGUAUGCAACCUACCUCUUACUGGGGGAUAGCCCAGAGAAAUUUGGAUUAACACCCCAUAGUAUCAUUCUUCCGCAUGGUUGAAUGAUUAA